This 200-nucleotide ribosomal RNA is filed under the name uncultured bacterium. RNAcentral describes it as "partial 16S ribosomal RNA". It matches the Rfam family "Bacterial small subunit ribosomal RNA", at positions 524 to 723 of the family's 1533-position model. The record is from RNAcentral.
UACGGAGGGGGCGAACGUUAUUCGGAUUUACUGGGUGUAAAGGGAUCGUAGGCGGAAUGCUAAGUUAGAUGUGAAAGCCCUGGGCUCAACCCAGGAAUUGCAUUUAAAACUGGCAAUCUAGAGUGUUGGAGAGGAUGACGGAAUUACAAGUGUAGAGGUGAAAUUCGUAGAUAUUUGUAGGAACAUCAGUGGCGAAGGCG